Paramuricea clavata is the source of this 241-nucleotide non-coding RNA. NCBI's taxonomy places the organism in Eukaryota, Metazoa, Cnidaria, Anthozoa, Malacalcyonacea, Plexauridae. The record is from the annotation of a GenBank genome assembly.
GCCUGCUACAUGACACUUUUAUCUAUGGAUCGUUCAAAUCGAUAAAGUUAAUAAUUGUUCCUUCCUUGAAUUCAGUUGUUUUCCUGCUCGUUCGCCGCCACUUGUUGGAUACGUAGACGAGCUGCUGCUGCCGCUCCUCUCUUUGCUCUUGGUUCGAAUGUCUCCGCGGUUGGAUUUAGUGGCGUUGUUGUAUCACAUGACAAUUCGAGCGGGAAUAACUGUUGCAUCGCUCUUUCGAGAC